AACGAACGCUGGCGGCAUGCCUAACACAUGCCAGUCGAACGAGACCUUCGGGUCUAGUGGCGCACGGGUGCGUAACGCGUGGGAACCUGCCCUUAGGUUCGGAAUAACUCAGAGAAAUUUGAGCUAAUACCGGAUGAUGUCUUCGGACCAAAGAUUUAUCGCCUUUAGAUGGGCCCGCGUUGGAUUAGCUAGUUGGUGGGGUAAAGGCCUACCAAGGCGACGAUCCAUAGCUGGUCUGAGAGGAUGAUCAGCCACACUGGGACUGAGACACGGCCCAGACUCCUACGGGAGGCAGCAGUGGGGAAUAUUGGACAAUGGGCGAAAGCCUGAUCCAGCAAUGCCGCGUGAGUGAUGAAGGCCUUAGGGUUGUAAAGCUCUUUUACCCGAGAUGAUAAUGACAGUAUCGGGAGAAUAAGCUCCGGCUAACUCCGUG
Molecule: ribosomal RNA, 433 nt
Filed under: uncultured bacterium
Lineage: Bacteria
Description: partial 16S ribosomal RNA
Rfam family: Bacterial small subunit ribosomal RNA
Source: RNAcentral